RNAcentral lists this microRNA precursor (196 nucleotides) under Oryza glumipatula. RNAcentral describes it as "MIR812 microRNA precursor family". It matches the Rfam family "MIR812 microRNA precursor family". Lineage: Eukaryota; Viridiplantae; Streptophyta; Magnoliopsida; Poales; Poaceae. The record is from Rfam by way of RNAcentral.
CUUAGGGUUUUUUUUUCUAAUAUUUGACCGUUCAUCUUAUAUAUAAUUUUUUUAUGAUUAGUAUUUUCAUUAUUGUUAGAUGAUAAAACAUGAAUAAUAAUUUAUGCAUAACUUAUUUUUUUAAAUUUUUUCAUAUUUUUUUUAAAUAAGACAGAUGGUCAAACGUUAAACACCAAAACUCAGGAAUUGACUUUUU